ACCCCGGACGCCCCCCGCCCGACGGCGCCAGGGGCCGCUCUGGCGCGUCCCCGGGCCGGACGUCCUGCGCCAGCCCCCGGCGGGAGCCCAGCUCGUCCCGGCCGAGGCCUCCCGCCCGGGGCGGGACACGCGGCUGCGGCCCGCUCCCGCUCGAGGCAGCCCGGGCCGCAACUCCGCCGGAGGCCCCGCGGAACGCGGGGCGAGCCCGGCCUCUACACGGGCCACGCAGGCCGAAGAAAAAAGGCACACAGUCUGAAACCUUUUUCACUUAACAGAAGAAAAUUAAAAAUUUUCUCACUGUCCAAUUCAUUGUUCUUCUCUUGCAGGAAUGUAUCAAAUAAUGUAAGGAAGAUGGAUAUCAUGUGUCCUCUUAUUCAGUCCAUCUUAAGAAGCAACAGCACGCUUAGAUGAGAUAGAAUCAUCUUCAUUUUCAUGCAGACGCUUUCUCGUUGUGGCUGACUAAAAGAAAGAUGCAGCAGAGUGGCUACAUUAAUCAGGUGCUACAAACAAACGGGGAGAUGUAUUACAGUAGUUACAUACCACAAUUGCUGAAACCUUUUCCAAGUGCAAAGAGUCGACCCCAAGGCUGAGGAAUAAGCUCUUCAGGUUCCUGAUCCUCGGGGAUUGAUGGAAGCUCCUGAGUGGGAACGGUGUCCAAAGAACUGAGGGUCCCAGAACUUGAGGAUGACUGGCUAGCACUCUGAGAUGCACUGGAAGAGGAACUGGUACCACUCUGUGACUGUUGGGCACCUUGAGACUGCUGCACUUCAUUUCCAGUCUCUCGAGACAUGUUGGCUUCAAAGAGAACAUUUAAAAAAGCGCUUACUACAGCAAAGUAAAAUUGACAAACUUUCACAUACAGUCCCAUUAUCAUAGAAAUCUAUUUCCAGUCUUCAAAUAAGACUCUCAAC
Molecule: long non-coding RNA, 911 nt
Organism: Cygnus olor (mute swan)
Lineage: Eukaryota; Metazoa; Chordata; Aves; Anseriformes; Anatidae
Exons: 4
Source: RefSeq, a predicted model, not a curated record